UUUAUAGAAGCUCUUGAGCAUUAAAUUGUUAAUUUAAAAGGGGCUACUAUAGUAGCCUAUAAAGC
Molecule: transfer RNA, 65 nt
Filed under: Microceramus pontificus
Lineage: Eukaryota; Metazoa; Mollusca; Gastropoda; Stylommatophora; Urocoptidae
Description: tRNA-Asn
Source: RNAcentral